Molecule: ribosomal RNA, 536 nt
Filed under: uncultured bacterium
Lineage: Bacteria
Description: bacterial SSU rRNA
Rfam family: Bacterial small subunit ribosomal RNA
Source: RNAcentral
AAUAGAUACCCAGGUAGUCCACGCCGUAAACGGUGGGCACUAGGUGUGGGCAACAUUCCACGUUGUCCGUGCCGCAGCUAACGCAUUAAGUGCCCCGCCUGGGGAGUACGGCCGCAAGGCUAAAACUCAAAGGAAUUGACGGGGGGCCCGCACAAGCGGCGGAGCAUGUGGCUUAAUUCGACGCAACGCGAAGAACCUUACCAAGGCUUGACAUACACCGGAAACGUCUGGAGACAAGCGCCCCCUUGUGGUCGGUGUACAGGUGGUGCAUGGCUGUCGUCAGCUCGUGUCGUGAGAUGUUGGGUUAAGUCCCGCAACGAGCGCAACCCUUGUCCCGUGUUGCCAGCAGGCCCUUGUGGUGCUGGGGACUCACGGGAGACCGCCGGGGUCAACUCGGAGGAAGGUGGGGACGACGUCAAGUCAUCAUGCCCCUUAUGUCUUGGGGCUGCACACGUGCUACAAUGGCCGGUACAAUGAGCUGCGAUACCGCGAGGUGGAGCGAAUCUCAAAAAGCCGGUCUCAGUUCGGAUUGGGGU